Molecule: long non-coding RNA, 438 nt
Organism: Melospiza melodia melodia
Lineage: Eukaryota; Metazoa; Chordata; Aves; Passeriformes; Passerellidae
Exons: 2
Source: RefSeq, a predicted model, not a curated record
CCCCAGGAAAAUCCCCAAAAUUCCCAGGAAAAUUCCCAGGAAAAUCCCCAAGAAAAUCCAAAAAUUCCCAGGAAAAUUCCAAGGAAAAUCCUGAAAUUUCCCAAGAAAAUCCCCAGGAAAAUCCCCAAAAUAAUCCCAAAAACUCCGAGGAAAAUUCCCCCAAAUCCCAGGAAUUUGGGAUUCCCCCAUAAACCAAACUGAGGAGGAAAAGGAGGAAAAAAAUCCGGAAAAAAUUCCAGAAAAAGAGGAAAAAACCCCGGAAAAGGAGGAGGAAAAAACCUCGCAAGAGCCCUGAGAAUUCCAGGAUGAAGAAGCCACAAAAGAGGAAAAUUCCUGAAUUUUCCCAUUCCUGAGGAAUUCCCUGCUGGGAUUUCAGGCAAUUUAUAGCGAAAUAAAGCCCAAAAAUGGGAAAAAUAAAAAGUUGGAAGUUUGGAAAAA